AAUUUCAAGAUCAGAAUAGCAAACUUUUCUUGUGGUCACUUAUGAUCCUCUGCAGCAGUCUGUGCUUCUUCCUGUUCUUUUCCUCUAGUACAAUAUAUGGUGGUGGGGAGAGCAAAAGAGGAGUUGAAAUUACACCAAGUACCAGUUCUAUGACAAGCUAGACUCUACUGAAUGAUGGGGAUGCAAUGGUGAGCAGAAAUGACAUGAUCCCUGCUAUAGGCUAACUUGUAUUCCUGCCCCCGCCACCGUGUACUUUAAAACUUAACCCCUAGCACCUCGGAAUGUGACUGAUUUGGAGAUAAGGCCUUUAAAGAAGUGAUUAAGUUAAAACGAGGCCAUGAGAGUGGGCCCUGAUCCAAUCUGAUUAGUGUCCUUACAUGGACACACAAAGAUAAACCACGGAUCUACAGACACACAGAAACAACCAUAUGAGAACACAGCACAAAAGUAACCAUCUGCAAGCAAAGGAGAGAAGCCUCCAAAGAAACUACAUCUGCCUACCAACACACUGAUCUCAGACUUCCAAGUGUGGCAGGAUCCCAUCUAUUCCUCAAACACUCCCUCUGGCUAUCUUUUGGAGAAGUGGAAAGGGCCAGAAUGGAGGUGAAUUAGAAGCUACAGCAGUGUCAAGGUUUGUAGCCAUGGCAGAGGAAAGCUGCUC
Molecule: long non-coding RNA, 661 nt
Organism: Fukomys damarensis (Damara mole-rat)
Lineage: Eukaryota; Metazoa; Chordata; Mammalia; Rodentia; Bathyergidae
Exons: 3
Source: RefSeq, a predicted model, not a curated record